UGCGUAGGUGGCGCGGUAAGUCGGGUGUGAAAUCUCGGAGCUUAACUUCGAAACUGCAUUCGAUACUGCCGUGCUUGAGGACUGGAGAGGAGACUGGAAUUUACGGUGUAGCAGUGAAAUGCGUAGAUAUCGUAAGGAAGACCAGUGGCGAAGGCGGGUCUCUGGACAGUUCCUGACACUGAGGCACGAAGGCCAGGGGAGCAAACG
This 207-nucleotide ribosomal RNA is filed under the name uncultured bacterium. RNAcentral describes it as "partial 16S ribosomal RNA". It matches the Rfam family "Bacterial small subunit ribosomal RNA", at positions 568 to 774 of the family's 1533-position model. The record is from RNAcentral.